UACGGGGGGAGCAAGCGUUGUUCGGAUUUACUGGGCGUAAAGCGUGCGCAGGCGGUUCUAUAAGACAGAUGUGAAAUCCCCGGGCUCAACCUGGGAACUGCAUUUGUGACUGUAGAGCUGGAGUACGGCAGAGGGGGAUGGAAUUCCGCGUGUAGCAGUGAAAUGCGUAGAUAUGCGGAGGAACACCGAUGGCGAAGGCAAUCCCCUGGGCCUGUACUGACGCUCAUGCACGAAAGCGUGGGGAGCAAACAGG
This 253-nucleotide ribosomal RNA is filed under the name uncultured bacterium. RNAcentral describes it as "partial 16S ribosomal RNA". It matches the Rfam family "Bacterial small subunit ribosomal RNA", at positions 524 to 776 of the family's 1533-position model. The record is from RNAcentral.